RNAcentral lists this transfer-messenger RNA (395 nucleotides) under Flavobacteriaceae bacterium. It matches the Rfam family "transfer-messenger RNA". Rfam says of the family: Bacterial tmRNA, also known as 10Sa RNA or SsrA, is named for its dual tRNA and mRNA-like properties. Its role is to liberate the mRNA from a stalled ribosome. Lineage: Bacteria; Pseudomonadati; Bacteroidota; Flavobacteriia; Flavobacteriales; Flavobacteriaceae. The record is from RNAcentral.
GGGGAUGACCGGUUUUGACAGCAAGGUCAGUUGAAAUAUAAGCAUGUCGAGCAAUGAAAUAGUACUCGUUAAAAUCGAUUUCAAUUUUUUAAACGGCGAGAAUAACUACGCUUUAGCUGCAUAAUCUGAAUUUAUAGUAGGAUUAGCCUAGUCCCGCCAGGCGGGAAAGCUUUAUGUCUCUUGAAAGCCUUGGUUCACGGCGUUCUGAUUAGAGGCAUCGUAAAAGUAAACCUAGAAAAACAAAGGCUUUGGUUGUUUUUCGAAAUUAAAGAAGCUAAGCUUAAAGUAGGUUGUUUUUAAUCGGCUUUAGGAUGAAAAUUAAAUAAAAACUAAACAUGUAGAAAGUAUUUUGGUUGCUUGUUUGGACGAGGGUUCGAGUCCCUCCAUCUCCACUA